RNAcentral lists this ribosomal RNA (253 nucleotides) under uncultured bacterium. Its description in RNAcentral is "partial 16S ribosomal RNA". It matches the Rfam family "Bacterial small subunit ribosomal RNA", at positions 524 to 776 of the family's 1533-position model. The record is from RNAcentral.
UACGUAGGGAGCAAGCGUUGUCCGGAAUCAUUGGGCGUAAAGCGCGCGUAGGCGGCCAGAUAAGUCCGGUGUGAAAGUCACAGGCUCAACCUGUGAAUGCCGCUGGAAACUGUCUGGCUAGAGUCCGGAAGGGGCGAGUGGAAUUCCUGGUGUAGCGGUGAAAUGCGCAGAUAUCAGGAGGAACACCAAUUGCGAAGGCAGCUCGCUGGGACGUUACUGACGCUGAGACGCGAAAGCGUGGGGAGCAAACAGG